RNAcentral lists this ribosomal RNA (497 nucleotides) under Bacillus sp. SRC-006. RNAcentral describes it as "bacterial SSU rRNA". It matches the Rfam family "Bacterial small subunit ribosomal RNA", at positions 27 to 506 of the family's 1533-position model. The record is from RNAcentral. Lineage: Bacteria; Bacillati; Bacillota; Bacilli; Caryophanales; Bacillaceae.
GGACGAACGCUGGCGGCGUGCCUAAUACAUGCAAGUCGAGCGGACAGAUGGGAGCUUGCUCCCUGAUGUUAGCGGCGGACGGGUGAGUAACACGUGGGUAACCUGCCUGUAAGACUGGGAUAACUCCGGGAAACCGGGGCUAAUACCGGAUGGUUGUUUGAACCGCAUGGUUCAAACAUAAAAGGUGGCUUCGGCUACCACUUACAGAUGGACCCGCGGCGCAUUAGCUAGUUGGUGAGGUAACGGCUCACCAAGGCAACGAUGCGUAGCCGACCUGAGAGGGUGAUCGGCCACACUGGGACUGAGACACGGCCCAGACUCCUACGGGAGGCAGCAGUAGGGAAUCUUCCGCAAUGGACGAAAGUCUGACGGAGCAACGCCGCGUGAGUGAUGAAGGUUUUCGGAUCGUAAAGCUCUGUUGUUAGGGAAGAACAAGUACCGUUCAAAUAGGGCGGUACCUUGACGGUACCUAACCAGAAAGCCACGGCUAACUACGU